Molecule: ribosomal RNA, 274 nt
Filed under: uncultured bacterium
Lineage: Bacteria
Description: partial 16S ribosomal RNA
Rfam family: Bacterial small subunit ribosomal RNA
Source: RNAcentral
AUACGGAGGGAGCAAGCGUUAUUCGGAAUCACUGGGCGUAAAGGACGCGUAGGCGGGUUCGUAAGUCAGGUGUGAAAUCCUACAGCUCAACUGUAGAACUGCACUUGAAACUACAGACCUAGAGUAUGGAAGGGGCAGAUGGAAUUAGUGGUGUAGGGGUAAAAUCCGUAGAUAUCACUAGGAAUACCGAAAGCGAAGGCGAUCUGCUGGGACAUUACUGACGCUGAGGCGUGAAAGCGUGGGGAGCAAACAGGAUUAGAAACCCGAGUAGUCC